UUGCUGGAGGUAUCAGAAGUGCGAAUGCUGACAUAAGUAACGAUAAAGCGGGUGAAAAGCCCGCUCGCCGGAAGACCAAGGGUUCCUGUCCAACGUUAAUCGGGGCAGGGUGAGUCGACCCCUAAGGCGAGGCCGAAAGGCGUAGUCGAUGGGAAACGGGUUAAUAUUCCCGUACUUGGUGUUACUGCGAAGGGGGGACGGAGAAGGCUAUGUUGGCCGGGCGACGGUUGUCCCGGUUUAAGCGUGUAGGUGUGUGUUCCAGGUAAAUCCGGUUCACUUUAACACUGAGGCGUGACGACGAGGCACUACGGUGCUGAAGCAACAAAUGCCCUGCUUCCAGGAAAAGCCUCUAAGCAUCAGGUAACAUCAAAUCGUACCCCAAACCGACACAGGUGGUCAGGUAGAGAAUACCAAGGCGCUUGAGAGAACUCGGGUGAAGGAACUAGGCAAAAUGGUGCCGUAACUUCGGGAGAAGGCACGCUGACACGUAGGUGAAGUGAUUUACUCAUGGAGCUGAAGUCAGUCGAAGAUACCAGCUGGCUGCAACUGUUUAUUAAAAACACAGCACUGUGCAAACACGAAAGUGGACGUAUACGGUGUGACGCCUGCCCGGUGCCGGAAGGUUAAUUGAUGGGGUCAGCGCAAGCGAAGCUCCUGAUCGAAGCCCCGGUAAACGGCGGCCGUAACUAUAACGGUCCUAAGGUAGCGAAAUUCCUUGUCGGGUAAGUUCCGACCUGCACGAAUGGCGUAAUGAUGGCCAGGCUGUCUCCACCCGAGACUCAGUGAAAUUGAACUCGCUGUGAAGAUGCAGUGUACCCGCGGCAAGACGGAAAGACCCCGUGAACCUUUACUAUAGCUUGACACUGAACAUUGAGCCUUGAUGUGUAGGAUAGGUGGGAGGCUUUGAAGUGUGGACGCCAGUCUGCAUGGAGCCGACCUUGAAAUACCACCCUUUAAUGUUUGAUGUUCUAACGUGGACCCGUUACCCGGGUUGCGGACAGUGUCUGGUGGGUAGUUUGACUGGGGCGGUCUCCUCCUAAAGAGUAACGGAGGAGCACGAAGGUUGGCUAAUCCUGGUCGGACAUCAGGAGGUUAGUGCAAUGGCAUAAGCCAGCUUGACUGCGAGCGUGACGGCGCGAGCAGGUGCGAAAGCAGGUCAUAGUGAUCCGGUGGUUCUGAAUGGAAGGGCCAUCGCUCAACGGAUAAAAGGUACUCCGGGGAUAACAGGCUGAUACCGCCCAAGAGUUCAUAUCGACGGCGGUGUUUGGCACCUCGAUGUCGGCUCAUCACAUCCUGGGGCUGAAGUAGGUCCCAAGGGUAUGGCUGUUCGCCAUUUAAAGUGGUACGCGAGCUGGGUUUAGAACGUCGUGAGACAGUUCGGUCCCUAUCUGCCGUGGGCGCUGGAGAACUGAGGGGGGCUGCUCCUAGUACGAGAGGACCGGAGUGGACGCAUCACUGGUGUUCGGGUUGUCAUGCCAAUGGCACUGCCCGGUAGCUAAAUGCGGAAGAGAUAAGUGCUGAAAGCAUCUAAGCACGAAACUUGCCCCGAG
RNAcentral lists this ribosomal RNA (1550 nucleotides) under Salmonella enterica. Its description in RNAcentral is "partial 23S ribosomal RNA". It matches the Rfam family "Bacterial large subunit ribosomal RNA", at positions 1270 to 2803 of the family's 2925-position model. Lineage: Bacteria; Pseudomonadati; Pseudomonadota; Gammaproteobacteria; Enterobacterales; Enterobacteriaceae. The record is from RNAcentral. RNAcentral also lists the same sequence under 1 other name.